RNAcentral lists this small nuclear RNA (318 nucleotides) under Microcebus murinus (gray mouse lemur). Its description in RNAcentral is "7SK RNA (ENSMICG00000028314.2)". It matches the Rfam family "7SK RNA". Rfam says of the family: 7SK was discovered as an abundant small nuclear RNA in the mid-70s but a possible function has only recently been suggested. Two independent studies have found that 7SK RNA binds the CDK9/cyclin T complex (known as elongation factor P-TEFb). Lineage: Eukaryota; Metazoa; Chordata; Mammalia; Primates; Cheirogaleidae. The record is from RNAcentral.
GGAUGUGAGGGUGAUCUGGCUGCAACAUCUGUCCCCCCAUUGAUUGCCAGGGUUCAUUCAGCUGAUCUGGCUGGCUGCACAGGUGUCCCUUUCCUGCCUCACCACUCCAUGUGCGUCCCUCCCUUCCAGAAGCUACUCGGUCUGUCAAAAAGGAUGACCCUCCCUGACAUAGGAAGACUGUUCUUUGGUCAAGGGUAUACUGGUAGCUACACUCCCCUGCUAGAACUUCCUGACAAGCUUUCAGUAUAUGCAGACUCUUAACAUUCAUGCAUUCAUUUUAUAAGUUGCUAUUAAAUAUGUUUCAUUCAGCAGGAAUUU